GCCUUCGUGGUGUAACGGUAGCACACUCGACGCAUAUUCGAGAGGUCCAGGUUCGAGUCCCAGCGAGGGCA
This 71-nucleotide transfer RNA is filed under the name Stegodyphus mimosarum. It matches the Rfam family "tRNA". From Rfam's summary of the family: Transfer RNA (tRNA) molecules are approximately 80 nucleotides in length. Lineage: Eukaryota; Metazoa; Arthropoda; Arachnida; Araneae; Eresidae. The record is from Rfam by way of RNAcentral.